GACGGACGCUGGCGGCGUGCUUAACACAUGCAAGUCGAACGGUAAGGCCCUUCGGGGUACACGAGUGGCGAACGGGUGAGUAACACGUGGGUGAUCUGCCCUGCACUUCGGGAUAAGCCUGGGAAACUGGGUCUAAUACCGGAUAGGACCACUGCCUGCAUGGGUGGGGGUGGAAAGCUUUUGCGGUGUGGGAUGGGCCCGCGGCCUAUCAGCUUGUUGGUGGGGUGAUGGCCUACCAAGGCGACGACGGGUAGCCGGCCUGAGAGGGUGACCGGCCACACUGGGACGGAGAUACGGCCCAGACUCCUACGGGAGGCAGCAGUGGGGAAUAUUGCACAAUGGGCGCAAGCCUGAUGCAGCGACGCCGCGUGAGGGAUGACGGCCUUCGGGUUGUAACCUCUCUCAGCACCGACGAAGCGCAAGUGACGGUAGGUGCAGAAGAAGGACCGGCCAACUACGUGCCAGCCGCCGCAGUAA
Molecule: ribosomal RNA, 477 nt
Filed under: uncultured bacterium
Lineage: Bacteria
Description: partial 16S ribosomal RNA
Rfam family: Bacterial small subunit ribosomal RNA
Source: RNAcentral